ACGAACGCUGGCGGCGUGCUUAACACAUGCAAGUCGAGCGGUAAGGCCCUUUCGGGGGUACGACGAGCGGCGAACGGGUGAGUAACACGUGGGUGACCUGCCCUCAGCUCUGGGAUAAGCCUGGGAAACCGGGUCUAAUACUGGAUAUGACUCCAUGACGCAUGUUGUGGGGUGGAAAGCCUUGUGCGGCUGAGGAUGGGCCCGCGGCCUAUCAGCUUGUUGGUGGGGUGAUGGCCUACCGAGGCGACGACGGGUAGCCGGCCUGAGAGGGCGACCGGCCACACUGGGACUGAGACACGGCCCAGACUCCUACGGGAGGCAGCAGUGGGGAAUCUUGCGCAAUGGGCGAAAGCCUGACGCAGCGACGCCGCGUGA
RNAcentral lists this ribosomal RNA (375 nucleotides) under uncultured bacterium. RNAcentral describes it as "bacterial SSU rRNA". It matches the Rfam family "Bacterial small subunit ribosomal RNA", at positions 29 to 404 of the family's 1533-position model. The record is from RNAcentral.